This 525-nucleotide ribosomal RNA is filed under the name Dietzia maris. RNAcentral describes it as "bacterial SSU rRNA". It matches the Rfam family "Bacterial small subunit ribosomal RNA", at positions 89 to 629 of the family's 1533-position model. The record is from RNAcentral. Lineage: Bacteria; Bacillati; Actinomycetota; Actinomycetes; Mycobacteriales; Dietziaceae.
ACACGAGUGGCGAACGGGUGAGUAACACGUGGGUAAUCUGCCCUGCACUUCGGGAUAAGCCUGGGAAACCGGGUCUAAUACCGGAUAUGAACUCCUGCCGCAUGGUGGGGGUUGGAAAGUUUUUCGGUGCAGGAUGAGCCCGCGGCCUAUCAGCUUGUUGGUGGGGUAAUGGCCUACCAAGGCGACGACGGGUAGCCGGCCUGAGAGGGUGAUCGGCCACACUGGGACUGAGACACGGCCCAGACUCCUACGGGAGGCAGCAGUGGGGAAUAUUGCACAAUGGGCGAAAGCCUGAUGCAGCGACGCCGCGUGGGGGAUGACGGUCUUCGGAUUGUAAACCCCUUUCAGUAGGGACGAAGCGCAAGUGACGGUACCUGCAGAAGAAGCACCGGCUAACUACGUGCCAGCAGCCGCGGUAAUACGUAGGGUGCGAGCGUUGUCCGGAAUUACUGGGCGUAAAGAGCUCGUAGGCGGUUUGUCACGUCGUCUGUGAAAUCCCUCGGCUUAACCGGGGGCGUGCAGGCG